AUUUGAACAAUAAUCAGCUAAUGGGCCCAAUUCCUGAGUUUAAGGCAGCUAAGGCGUCUUGUACUUCAAAUUCCUUUUGUCAAUCCACUGCAGGGGUUCCUUGUGCCCCAGAAGUUAUGGCACUUUUAGAUUUCCUUGAUGGGUUGAAUUUUCCUCCUAGACUUGUUUCUUCAUGGACUGGUAAUGAUCCAUGUUCAGUAUGGAUGGGGGUGACUUGUGAUUCCAAUAAGGUGCAUUCCAUUGCUUUGCCUAAAUAUAAUCUUAGUGGUACCUUGAGUCCUUCAGUUGCAAAACUAGGUUCUCUUCAGCAAAUUAAACUUGGGGGCAACAAUCUUAGUGGUCCAGUUCCAACAAAUUGGACUUCCUUGACCUCUUUGGAAACCUUGGAUCUUAGUAACAACAACAUUUCCCCUCCAUUUCCAAGAUUCCCUACCACUGUGAAGCUAGUCAUUGAUGGCAAUCCUCUAUUAGCAGGUGGUAAGCCAGCCCCAUCCCCUGAUAACAAUCCUUCUUCUGGAAGUUCAAAUUCACCUAAACCCCCAUCACAAACCAAAGGCAUAAAUUCUAAUCCUGGUGAUUCUGUAGAACCAGCAAAACAGAAAAGCAAGGGCUCCACAUUGGUUGCAAUUGUAGCUCCUGUUGCAAGUGUUGCAUUUGCUGCUAUUCUGAUC
This 671-nucleotide unclassified non-coding RNA is filed under the name Hevea brasiliensis (rubber tree). Lineage: Eukaryota; Viridiplantae; Streptophyta; Magnoliopsida; Malpighiales; Euphorbiaceae. The record is from RNAcentral.